UGCGGUGUAGAGAAGCCCGGUCAAUCUCGUUUGGUUCAUAACCAGAAGAUCGCUGGUUCAAAUCCAGCCGCCGCAACCA
This 79-nucleotide transfer RNA is filed under the name Pseudaminobacter soli (ex Zhang et al. 2022). RNAcentral describes it as "tRNA-Met". It matches the Rfam family "tRNA". From Rfam's summary of the family: Transfer RNA (tRNA) molecules are approximately 80 nucleotides in length. Their secondary structure includes four short double-helical elements and three loops (D, anti-codon, and T loops). The record is from RNAcentral. Lineage: Bacteria; Pseudomonadati; Pseudomonadota; Alphaproteobacteria; Hyphomicrobiales; Phyllobacteriaceae.